UGGGGAAUCUUCCGCAAUGGACGAAAGUCUGACGGAGCAACGCCGCGUGUAUGAUGAAGGUCUUCGGAUUGUAAAGUACUGUCAUUGGGGAAGAACGGUUUUCUUGAAAAGAUUGAGAAGACAUGACGGUACCCAAGGAGGAAGCCCCGGCUAACUACGUGCCAGCAGCCGCGGUAAUACGUAGGGGGCAAGCGUUGUCCGGAAUUAUUGGGCGUAAAGGGCGCGUAGGCGGGCCUUUAAGUCCGGUGUGAAAGAUCAGGGCUCAACCCUGAGAGUGCAUCGGAAACUGGAGGCCUUGAGGACAGGAGAGGAAAGUGGAAUUCCACGUGUAGCGGUGAAAUGCGUAGAUAUGUGGAGGAACACCAGUGGCGAAGGCGACUUUCUGGACUGUAACUGACGCUGAGGCGCGAAAGCGUGGGGAGCAAACAGGAUUAGAUACCCUGGUAGUCCACGCCGUAAACGAUGAGUGCUAGGUGUAGAGGGUAUCGACCCCUUCUGUGCCGCAGUUAACACAAUAAGCACUCCGCCUGGGGAGUACGGCCGCAAGGUUGAAACUCAAAUGAAUUGACGGGGUCAUAGCUGUUCAU
Molecule: ribosomal RNA, 587 nt
Filed under: uncultured bacterium
Lineage: Bacteria
Description: partial 16S ribosomal RNA
Rfam family: Bacterial small subunit ribosomal RNA
Source: RNAcentral